Molecule: non-coding RNA, 27 nt
Filed under: Homo sapiens (human)
Lineage: Eukaryota; Metazoa; Chordata; Mammalia; Primates; Hominidae
Source: RNAcentral
GAACAUCCAGCAGCCUUUGAUACGUGA